Molecule: non-coding RNA, 23 nt
Filed under: Cricetulus griseus (Chinese hamster)
Lineage: Eukaryota; Metazoa; Chordata; Mammalia; Rodentia; Cricetidae
Source: RNAcentral
CUUGGGGUCUGUGGUCUUUUUUG